This 1217-nucleotide long non-coding RNA is filed under the name Betta splendens (Siamese fighting fish). Its description in RNAcentral is "lncRNA (ENSBSLG00000010244.1)". The record is from RNAcentral. Lineage: Eukaryota; Metazoa; Chordata; Actinopteri; Anabantiformes; Osphronemidae.
AACGUGUUCAUUCGUACGUGAAAACAAGGCAGGAUCGUUUACCAGACCAUAAAGUUCGGUCUCAGUUUAGCUAGCUAUCUUCAGUUAGCGUUAUUUAUAGCUAGCUACUGUUUGAUAGCUUCAACAACCUGGCGACUUGAACGAACAAGAAGAGGUGCAACAGAUGGUUCCCCUCCUGAGAUCAGAGCGUCCCGCUGGAGGAGCAGCACCACUGUGAUUAAUGAGCACACGCACACACAGGUCUGACAUAGCAGGUCUCUCGCCCCCAGUCAGAACAGCUGUUUUGCUCCAGAGGCAUUGUGGGUCUGUGUUGCUGUGGCGAUGCCUUAAGUUAUGCCAGCUGCUCUACUUCCUGAUGAUGCUGCUGGCAAAUAAGAUAAAAACAACAUUGAUUUCAAAGUGUACUAUAUGUACUUGAGUAAGUACUCGACUACUGUCUUCCAUUGCUACUUUAUUGGUGAAACCUCUGAUAACAUCAUAACUAAUAUGUCCUAGUUUGUAUUCUUAGCUAAUUAUUACAUAAUUCUGCAGCAAGUAAACUGUUGCCUGUAUUUCCUUAACAGCUAGAUGGCAGUAAACAAACACUGGACCUAGUUCCCCUGUUGCUGAAGGUUGAUCAAUUAUGCCUCAAAGUCUGGAAGGCCUGUUCCACCCCUGACAACCUCUUUAAUCCCACCCCUAAAAAUGUUUAAUUUGCAACUAAAUAUGCUUAAGAUUUUUGCUCCCAUGAAACGUGGUAGGAGUGGGGAUUUGCUCAGUUCCUCUGCACAAAGGAACAUGAAAGAACAGUGGGUACAGUAGUUGUGGUCCGAUGGAGGGAGGCAGGAAAAGAGAGACGUAGGAGCCUGUCGCCAGGAUGUUAUCUCUCUCCCUCUCUCUCUCACAUGAGAAGGACAAAACUUUUAUUUUGACAAGAGGUCUUCAACUUUUAUUUCGCUGUCCUUGAACAGGACAGAGCCUGUCAGAGGGGAACUUCCUGUGAUGACCAACAGGGAGAGGGAGAGGCGAGAACACAAGAUGAGCUAACACCAAAAACAACACCAGUGAUAGAGGAAGUUCAGUGCCGUUCGUUCUAAGCAAAGCCACCUGAGGGGAAGUUGUGGGCAGGUUAAUGACCUUUGACCUUGUACUGUAGCAGAAUAUGUUGGGGCAAAUUUCCUAAAACUUUGUAGGAAAACAUACAACGGUGUCCUAUUAAAGAGGGACGAGGAUCACAG